RNAcentral lists this ribosomal RNA (497 nucleotides) under uncultured bacterium. Its description in RNAcentral is "partial 16S ribosomal RNA". It matches the Rfam family "Bacterial small subunit ribosomal RNA", at positions 28 to 507 of the family's 1533-position model. The record is from RNAcentral.
GAUGAACGCUGGCGGCGUGCCUAAUACAUGCAAGUCGAGCGAACAGAUGAGGAGCUUGCUCCUCUGACGUUAGCGGCGGACGGGUGAGUAACACGUGGAUAACCUACCUAUAAGACUGGGAUAACUUCGGGAAACCGGAGCUAAUACCGGAUCAUAUAUUGAACCGCAUGGUUCAAUAGUGAAAGACGGUUUUGCUGUCACUUAUAGAUGGAUCCGCGCCGCAUUAGCUAGUUGGUAAGGUAACGGCUUACCAAGGCAACGAUGCGUAGCCGACCUGAGAGGGUGAUCGGCCACACUGGAACUGAGACACGGUCCAGACUCCUACGGGAGGCAGCAGUAGGGAAUCUUCCGCAAUGGGCGAAAGCCUGACGGAGCAACGCCGCGUGAGUGAUGAAGGUCUUCGGAUCGUAAAACUCUGUUGUUAGGAAAGAACAGAUGUGUGAGUAACUAUGGACGUCUUGACGGUACCUAAUCAGAAAGCCACGGCUAACUACGUG